GACCAAACGCCAUGCAAAUCACUCUGCUGCUAGAGCCUCAUUGGCCGCUUGUGGCUCAUUUAACCGCUGUCAGUGCGCAUCAUAUGGCCGCCGCUUUAACCAACUUCUCAACUCCGACAUAAGCAAAGUGGCUCAAAUGCGCAUUCUCUCACAGUGGAUGUGAACCAACCCAGGCGAAGACAGGGCGAAAAACUGGUUGGAAAAUUUUUAUAUCCCUUCUCGGAUUAUUUUUUGUGUCGUAUUUGAUUAGUUUGGGUUUCAGAAUAUCAAUUCUGCGACUCAGUCGACCUGUGCGCCCCCGAACUUUGUGCGCACUUAGCCUAUCUUAAAAAAUACUUUUUUCUCUGUUGGUGGCGAACUUUAAAACCAGGUGAAUGUAUAGCAUGAUGAUGGAAACUGACCUCCAUUCCCCCGGCCCCCAAACGAACACUACCACGGGGCAAACGGGGCCGAAUAGCGGGUCCAAAGCGAACCAGGAACGGGUGAAGAGACCGAUGAACGCUUUCAUGGUGUGGUCCCGUGGGCAGCGGAGGAAGAUGGCACAGGAGAACCCCAAGAUGCACAACUCUGAGAUCAGCAAGCGGCUGGGUGCCGAGUGGAAGGUAAUGUCCGAGGCUGAGAAGCGUCCUUUCAUCGACGAGGCGAAACGUUUGCGAGCCAUGCACAUGAAGGAGCAUCCGGAUUACAAGUACCGGCCAAGACGGAAGACCAAGACGCUGCUGAAAAAGGACAAAUAUUCCCUCGCAGGAGGACUGCUUUCUGGGCCCGGUGGGGGUGGUGGAGUUGGUUUAGGGGUCGGCAUGGGUUCAUCGGGGAUCGGACAGAGGUUAGAGAGCCCCGGGGGUCACGGAGGCUCAGGCAGCUCCGGCUACGCGCACAUGAACGGCUGGGCGAACGGUGCGUACUCGGGGCAGGUGGCUGCAGCGGCAGCAGCCGCAGCGAUGAUGCAGGAGGCUCAGCUUGCCUACAGCCAGCACCCGGGGAGCGGAGGGCACCACCACCACCACUCGCACCACCACCACUCACACAACCCGCAGCCCAUGCACCGCUACGACAUGACAGCGCUGCAGUACAGCCCCAUCUCGAACUCUCAGAGCUACAUGAACGCUUCACCCUCCGGCUACGGCGGGAUCACCUACACACAGCACCAGGGCUCCGGCGUCUCCUCCUCCACUGCCAUGGGGACGUUAGGGUCGCUGGUGAAAUCGGAGCCGAGUAUCUCUCCGUUGUUGGAAUAGCAUCUGCACUGGAGCUUUCCGACAAGAGAUUGUUGUCGGCUGUCAGGCUGUUUAAGCAAAGUGAUGACCAGUGGACAUGGAUCACUGCGGGUGGGACUGUGAUUUACAGAUAGCUCCUCGUCUCCUCCGCGAGCAGGCAUCAUUACGACGAACGCUCGGAGAUGGGACCUUUUGGAAAAUGUCGGCAACAGUCAGAGCCCUCAAAUUCUUCCAUCUACUCUUUCCCCUCUGAUGCUUUCUUCUGUAAACCCAUUAUUAUUAUUAAUAUUAUUAUCUAAUAUUUUGUAUCUAUGUAUUGUGUCAAGUUUCCCAGCAUGUGGAUCUUUUUCUUACCGUAACAUCGACUGGAACAAAAAACAGCACCAGCUCCUUAUUUCCCUCAUCUCAGCAUAAACAAACAAACCAAAAAGAGAAAUAAACAAAUAAAUAAAUAAACUGCAGUGUCUGCAGCAGCUCUCCAUCCUCCCCAUUCUGUUUCACUGGAGCCAGCUUCACUGUCUUAAUAUCCUUAUCCCCUCGGCUGGCAUGUUUUUCAUGAACCCGCUGCAUUUUUCAGAUUUUUAAAAUCCGUCAAAUGCCUGUAAUGAAUAUUUCUACAGCCUCGAGUGUGUUUAAUGUGCUGUGUGACCAGCGCAGCAGGAAACUCUGGCACUUGGACCUGGGUGAUAAUUGGACUGAGGCCUCAGCCAGUGAGGAAACAGGUGAAAUGAAAUAAACAUUUAUUAUCAGAUAUGUUCUAAGAUUGUAUUAACAUAUUCCCUUUGCAUGGGUGUACACAUCAUGUAUAUUUCCAUUUUACCUAUUUUUUCCUAAAAUAUGAAACUGUUAGCAGAGUUUUCUUGCAUUUUUAAAUGUUAUCUUUCACUCAACACUUGUAUUUUAGUCUAUUUGUUUGUUGUCUUAAACAGCUUUUUGUGAAAAGAGAAACUGUGUGUUAAAUAAACUCCUGCAUCUUAUUGCUGCUUAAGAA
Hippoglossus stenolepis (Pacific halibut) is the source of this 2208-nucleotide RNA transcript. It is a transcript of the gene named SRY-box transcription factor 1a, with no coding region annotated. The transcript has 4 exons. The record is from RefSeq and is a predicted model, not a curated record. Lineage: Eukaryota; Metazoa; Chordata; Actinopteri; Pleuronectiformes; Pleuronectidae.